ACCAAACGCCGAGUUAAGGCGCCUAAACGACGCUAAUGGGAUGCCAUGAAAGGUUUUGGUUGCUUAGGACAGCAGGACGGUGGCCAUGGAAGCUGGAAUCCGCUAAGGAAUGUGUAACAACUCACCUGCCAAAGCAACUAGCCCUGAAAAUGGAUGGCGCUGAAGCGUCGUGCCUAUACUCGGCCGCCUGGCCAUGAGAAACGUUCAUAAUAGUUCGUUUUGACGCCCUGGUGAGUAGGAGGGUCGCGGUGGUGUGCGCAGAAGGGUUUGGACGUAAGCCUGCCUGGAGCCGCCAUCGGUGCAGAUCUUGGUGGUAGUAGCAAAUACUCCAGCGAGGCCCUGGAGGACUGACGUGAAGAAGGGUUUCGUGUAAACAGCCGUUGCACACGAGUCAGUCGAUGUGAAGCCCCAGGAGAAAUCCUAUGUUGAUGUUGGUGUAUUUUAUUUUGAAUAAAAUUUCACACCCAUCGGGCGAAAGGAAAUCCUGUUCCUAUUCCGGAACCCAGCAGCGGAACCGUUUACAAGUCGGGCCCUCGCAAGAGAGUUUGUCGGGGUAACCCAAAGUGACCUGGAGACGCCGUCGGAAAAUACGGGGAGAGUUUCUUUUCUGUAUGAGCGUUCGAGUUCCCUGGAAUCCUCUAGAAGGGAGAUAGGGUUUGGAACGCGAAGAGCACCGCUGUUGCGGCGGUGUCAGUAUCUUCCCCUCGGACCUUGAAAAUCCAUGAGAAGGCCACGGUAGGUGUCGCGCCGGUUCGUACCCAUAUUCGCAGCAGGUCUCCAAGGUGAAGAGCCUCUAGUCGAUAGAUAAAUGUAGAUAAGGGAAGUCGGCAAAUUGGAUCCGUAACUUUGGGAUAAGGAUUGGCUCUGAGGAUCGGGGCGUGCCGGGCUUGGUUGGGAAGCGGGCCUAGGCCGAUGUGCAAAACAAAGCAUUGCGAUCGCCCUAGCGGGUGUUGACGCAAUGUGAUUUCUGCCCAGUGCUCUGAAUGUCAACGUGAAGAAAUUCAAGCAAGCGCGGGUAAACGGCGGGAGUAACUAUGACUCUUUUAAGGCGCCCUACUCCCAAAUACCCUACUCAAUAUAUCCCUCUUUUCCAAACUUCCUAAAAGCACUGGCCUAACCUCCCAUGUUGCCCUAAGAACAUCGAUCGAAAUGAGCAAUAUAUUUCUCGACGGAUAGUGUGCGAUGUUGGCGGUUCCCCACACAAGUACACUCGGACCAUGACUUGCACUGACGUAACUAAUUUGAACUGGGCGGUGACCUCCUGAAGCGCACCUCGCAUGUGUCGGAGCUGCGGGUUUAAAUGAUUCUCAUAUACUCAUUUAUUGAUUCCUAACAGCGCAGAAGGACAGUCACGGAAGGCCCAUUUGUGAUGUCUGUAAUGUCCCAUUUAUGUUAUGUGUAGCCCUUCUGGCUUGUGAGGCAUUUGACAGGUUAUUAUUUCCCCCCCUUGUUUCCCUUUGUUAUCCUAUAAUAGCCUGUCAAAGGCAGCAGAUACCUCCGCGCGGUGCCCCGUGGGCAGUCCUCGAUCGCACUGCGUCCCUACGGGGAUUCAGGGCGAUCGGUGGAUGACUAAACUCUGCUGUUCCCUGCAAAGUAGGUUGUGGAUGGACCUGCGAGGGAUCCUCUACAUCAGUGUUGAAUUAGACCGGUAGCGAUCCGCGUUGCUGCUACUC
Molecule: ribosomal RNA, 1673 nt
Filed under: Ctenocephalides felis (cat flea)
Lineage: Eukaryota; Metazoa; Arthropoda; Insecta; Siphonaptera; Pulicidae
Description: eukaryotic LSU rRNA
Rfam family: Eukaryotic large subunit ribosomal RNA (bases 1-1127)
Source: RNAcentral